This 333-nucleotide ribosomal RNA is filed under the name Triticum aestivum (bread wheat). Its description in RNAcentral is "partial small subunit ribosomal RNA". The record is from RNAcentral. Lineage: Eukaryota; Viridiplantae; Streptophyta; Magnoliopsida; Poales; Poaceae.
AUGGACGGAGAAUCUGCAUUCGGGAGGGACGAGAAUGGUACUGAUAAGGUGACUAAGACCAAUAACGAUAACUUGAACGAAGAUGAUGACAACAGCGACAACGAUUCCGUCUCGUCAUAUGAUAUCUUACCUCCGGAGGAUUUUGAUAAUAAUGAACAUGGCGCAAAUAGCGAAAACGUAAGUGCCGUAUAUUUUUUUAUUUUCGAAAUUGCAAAGUAUGGCAUGGCUAACUGUAUAUCUUUGUGUACAAAUUUCCAAGAAGAUGUGGAUGUUGACAAUGUGCAACAUAGUUGGCAGGAAUCAUUUGCAGAUAACUUGAGCCAGGUUAGUUGA